This 350-nucleotide ribosomal RNA is filed under the name Lethrinus ornatus (ornate emperor). Its description in RNAcentral is "partial 12S ribosomal RNA". It matches the Rfam family "Bacterial small subunit ribosomal RNA", at positions 1034 to 1527 of the family's 1533-position model. The record is from RNAcentral. Lineage: Eukaryota; Metazoa; Chordata; Actinopteri; Spariformes; Lethrinidae.
CCCGCCUAUAUACCACCGUCGUCAGCUUACCCUCUGAGGGUCCAACAGUAAGCACAAUUGGCACAGCCCAAAACGUCAGGUCGAGGUGUAGCGUAUGAAAGGGGAAGAAAUGGGCUACAUUCACCCUUUACGGUGUACUACGAAAGAUGUAAUUGAAACAUUCAUCAGAAGGAGGAUUUAGCAGUAAGCAGAAAGUAGAGCGUUCCGCUGAAACUGGCCCUGAAGCGCGCACACACCGCCCGUCACUCUCCCCGAGCCCCCAAAUUUUGCCCUAAAUAAAACACCACCCACCGCUAAGGGGAGGCAAGUCGUAACAUGGUAAGUGUACCGGAAGGUGCACUUGGAAAAAC